UUGGAGGGCAAGUCUGGUGCCAGCAGCCGCGGUAAUUCCAGCUCCAAUAGCGUAUAUUAAAGUUGUUGCAGUUAAAAAGCUCGUAGUUGAAUUUCGGAGUUUGUCGGUUGGUCGGGCUUCACUGUCCGCACUGGCCUGAUGGAUUCCUACCUUCUGAAUAACCAGCAUGCUAUUAAGUUAGUGCGUUGGGGAAGCAGAGCUAUUACCUUGAAAAAAUUAGAGUGCUUAAAGCUGGCUUAUGCUUGAAUAGAUUAGCAUGGAAUAAUAAAAUAGGACGGCAUGGUUCUAUUUUGUUGGUUUCUAGGAUCACCGUAAUGAUUAAUAGGGAUAGUUGGGGGCAUUAGUAUUCAAUUGUCAGAGGUGAAAUUCUUGGAUUUAUUGAGGACUAACUUCUGCGAAAGCAUUUGCCAAGGAUGUUUUCAUUAAUCAAGAACGAAAGUUAGGGGAUCGAAGACGAUCAGAUACCGUCGUAGUCUUAACCAUAAACUAUGCCGACUAGGGAUCGGACGAUGUUAAUUUUUUAAUGACUCGUUCGGCGCCUUACGGGAAACCAAAGUGUUUGGGUUC
This 567-nucleotide ribosomal RNA is filed under the name uncultured Glomeromycotina. RNAcentral's name for it is "SSU rRNA". It matches the Rfam family "Eukaryotic small subunit ribosomal RNA", at positions 548 to 1114 of the family's 1831-position model. Lineage: Eukaryota; Fungi; Glomeromycota. The record is from RNAcentral.